This 446-nucleotide ribosomal RNA is filed under the name uncultured bacterium. RNAcentral's name for it is "SSU rRNA". It matches the Rfam family "Bacterial small subunit ribosomal RNA", at positions 26 to 518 of the family's 1533-position model. The record is from RNAcentral.
AGAACGAACGCUGGCGGCAGGCUUAACACAUGCAAGUCGAACGCGUGUAGCAAUACACGAGUGGCGCACGGGUGAGUAACGCGUGGAUAUCUGCCUUUUGGUUCGGAAUAACCCCGGGAAACUGGGGCUAAUACCGGAUGGUUCCUACGGGAUAAAGAUUUAUCGCCAAAAGAUGAGUCCGCGUCCGAUUAGCUAGUUGGUGGGGUAAUGGCCUACCAAGGCGACGAUCGGUAGCUGGUCUGAGAGGACGAUCAGCCACACUGGGACUGAGACACGGCCCAGACUCCUACGGGAGGCAGCAGUGGGGAAUAUUGGACAAUGGGGGCAACCCUGAUCCAGCCAUGCCGCGUGAGUGAUGAAGGCCUUCGGGUUGUAAAGCUCUUUUGGCGGGGACGAUGAUGACGGUACCCGCAGAUAAGCCCGGCUAACUUCGCGCCAGCAGCCGC